This 339-nucleotide ribosomal RNA is filed under the name uncultured Faecalibacterium sp. RNAcentral's name for it is "bacterial SSU rRNA". It matches the Rfam family "Bacterial small subunit ribosomal RNA", at positions 354 to 710 of the family's 1533-position model. The record is from RNAcentral. Lineage: Bacteria; Bacillati; Bacillota; Clostridia; Eubacteriales; Oscillospiraceae.
UGGGGGAAUAUUGCACAAUGGGGGAAACCCUGAUGCAGCGACGCCGCGUGGAGGAAGAAGGUCUUCGGAUUGUAAACUCCUGUUGUUGAGGAAGAUAAUGACGGUACUCAACAAGGAAGUGACGGCUAACUACGUGCCAGCAGCCGCGGUAAAACGUAGGUCACAAGCGUUGUCCGGAAUUACUGGGUGUAAAGGGAGCGCAGGCGGGAAGACAAGUUGGAAGUGAAAUCCAUGGGCUCAACCCAUGAACUGCUUUCAAAACUGUUUUUCUUGAGUAGUGCAGAGGUAGGCGGAAUUCCCGGUGUAGCGGUGGAAUGCGUAGAUAUCGGGAGGAACACC